AUCGCUUCUCAGCCUUUUGGCUAAGAUCAAGCGUAGGUAUCUGUUCUUGCCAGUUUAACAUCUGAUACAUCCUCCCUCUGAGGAUGAAAUAUUAAGUGGAUUUUUGAGCAGGGAGAUGGAAUAGGAGCUUGCUCUGUCCAUGCUGUAAGUACAUUGGUCCAGUAUUGCAGUACCUCCAGAACAGUGCACUCUCA
Artibeus jamaicensis (Jamaican fruit-eating bat) is the source of this 194-nucleotide small nuclear RNA. RefSeq annotates it as U2 spliceosomal RNA. The record is from RefSeq and is a predicted model, not a curated record. NCBI's taxonomy places the organism in Eukaryota, Metazoa, Chordata, Mammalia, Chiroptera, Phyllostomidae. The transcript has a single exon.